CACGCCCUAAACGAUGUCAACUAGGUGUUGGUGGGGUUAAACCCAUUAGUACCGUAGCUAACGCGUGAAGUUGACCGCCUGGGGAGUACGGCCGCAAGGUUAAAACUCAAAGGAAUUGAC
Molecule: ribosomal RNA, 120 nt
Filed under: uncultured bacterium
Lineage: Bacteria
Description: partial 16S ribosomal RNA
Rfam family: Bacterial small subunit ribosomal RNA
Source: RNAcentral